AGUGAACGCUGGCGGUAGGCCUAACACAUGCAAGUCGAACGGCAGCACAGUAAGAGCUUGCUCUUACGGGAGGCGAGUGGCGGACGGGUGAGGAAUACAUCGGAAUCUACUUUUUCGUGGGGGAUAACGUAGGGAAACUUACGCUAAUACCGCAUACGACCUACGGGUGAAAGCAGGGGAUCUUCGGACCUUGCGCGAUUGAAUGAGCCGAUGUCGGAUUAGCUAGUUGGCGGGGUAAAGGCCCACCAAGGCGACGAUCCGUAGCUGGUCUGAGAGGAUGAUCAGCCACACUGGAACUGAGACACGGUCCAGACUCCUACGGGAGGCAGCAGUGGGGAAUAUUGGACAAUGGGCGCAAGCCUGAUCCAGCCAUACCGCGUGGGUGAAGAAGGCCUUCGGGUUGUAAAGCCCUUUUGUUGGGAAAGAAAAGCAGCAGGUUAAUACCCCGCUGUUCUGACGGUACCCAAAGAAUAAGCACCGGCUAACUUCGUG
RNAcentral lists this ribosomal RNA (492 nucleotides) under uncultured bacterium. RNAcentral's name for it is "partial 16S ribosomal RNA". It matches the Rfam family "Bacterial small subunit ribosomal RNA", at positions 29 to 507 of the family's 1533-position model. The record is from RNAcentral.